UUCGCUUCGGUUGCACUUUCACGACAGCAGGCAAAGAAAGACUUUUCGUACUUGGAAACUUAAGGUUUUCGUGUAAUUCUGCACAUGUGAAAUUUCGUGGUGUCGCCUAUACGUUUAGAAAGCUAUUAUGCAAGUACUUUUAUAUCUGCCGUUAAUCCAAGCUAUUUAAAAUUUGAGUGAGCACUCCAGUUCAGAAAUAUGAGCAUUGUGAACUUCUUGAAAAUGCCAAUUAAAGCUUUUUUUCUCUCUCUGUUUCUCUGUGCAUAAAAGAAAAGACAGACUCGCAAGUACCUCUGUAUCUUAUACAAUCAGGAAGGGCCACGUCUCUUUACAAAUGAACGUCCAAGCAAACAAACAAAAAAGAAAGCAUCGACAAAUAAAUUCACUUACACGCAGUUACCAGCCCACCUUUGCCCCAUUUGAUUUGAUAUCAGCCCAUGUUUCUGGAAAUAAAUUUCCAGUGAAACUACCCGUAAACACAGAAAAUGGCUUAGAGGUAGCGUAAAAUAAAUAGCUUUGAAAGUAAUACACACACAUAGUUUAAAAGAAUAUUUGUUUUUAUGCCUUGAAAACGAAACCGAAAUUGAAAUAACUUCCCCCGACGGGUGUCGCCGCUAUCGCCGCUACGUCAUUUCCUGCGUCUCGCGGCGGGCCGCCGGGAGCACAUGUGUGUGUUCUCCGUGACAUUCUUGAAGUUGUGAGUAAUUAGAUUGUUUUUUGCUGCGUUUAGGUUGUACCACCUCGUUGUUUUCGUGUACUUUUGUGCUCAUCGACGCGAAGUGAGCGUCCGGAGUGAAGGCGACGCGAUUAUGCGUGAGAAAGAAGGGCACCAGCGGCCUACGACAUCGGUGUUUCUUUGUGACAGUGUGUUUACUACGCCUACGACGGCCGUCAUUCGUGGCGAAGGAGAAAACAUCUUCCAUUCGGCCUGAACAGUGAUGAAGUGGACGUUUUGUUUUUCGGCGGAAUGCAUCGUCAACAUGGUCCAUCCACUACGUAAACGAAACGGCGUGCCCAGAGUACAGAUCGUGACAGCGCUCCGCCUUCAAACCGAGGGCCUUUUGCAAGGCGCAUGAACUGCUCAUAUAAAAGUUGCAGUCAGCAUGAAGCAAUUGCAUGGGAACCGACUGGCUGUCUUGGGCCUACACGUUGCUGAAAAGACAGUGAAGACGUCUGACCCGACAGGUAGAAAAGAAGCAGAUGGCUACAGUGAUCAAUGAAGAAAUGGCUUCAUCUAUGAUGGCUCGCCUUAGGACAUUGGAAUGGAGCUACACAAAGGCAUCAUCAUCCUCGCCUGUGCCCUGGAACUUUGGUUUGAAUGAGACUGUUCUUCAAUGUAGAACGGCCGCAAGACUUGUCACCACAAGGCAUAGUGCAAGCUCACAAUAUUGUACAGGAGGCUAGAAUAAAUGACCCUCCAUGCAGUCACUCUGUAUCUGUGAUAAAUGGGACCAUUUCACGCAGAACACUCACAAGUGAUAAUGUGUUUUCUCUCAAAGUUGCUAUGCAGUGCGUUUGUAAACACAUUACCUAUUGUAUGCACACCAUACAUAACAUUUCUGUGUGCUAGCCUAACUGUAGACUUAGAAACAAACAAUGAAGUGCAUAUGUACCCGCUUCCACAUGCCGUACUUCAAGGGCUAUUAUAUUGCUCAUUACACCCGAUAGGUGAAGGGGUAAUAUAUUCCUGAUCACACCCUUACACCCCAUGGGUCGAAGGGUAAUAUGU
Molecule: non-coding RNA, 1729 nt
Organism: Dermacentor albipictus
Lineage: Eukaryota; Metazoa; Arthropoda; Arachnida; Ixodida; Ixodidae
Source: RefSeq, a predicted model, not a curated record